Molecule: long non-coding RNA, 7078 nt
Organism: Lutra lutra (Eurasian river otter)
Lineage: Eukaryota; Metazoa; Chordata; Mammalia; Carnivora; Mustelidae
Exons: 3
Source: RefSeq, a predicted model, not a curated record
AGCUCCAUGCUGAGCACAGAGCCCCAUGCAGGACUCCAUCUGAGGACCCUAAGCUCAUGACCUGAGCUGAAACCAAGAGUUGGACACCUAACUGCGCCACUCAGGUGCCCCUAGAGUGGUAUGUUUUAAUGUGUGUUUAUCCACAUUAAAUGUGGAUGCAUAAAAUUUGUGACCACCAUAUAGUAGAAGCCGCUAAGGGGGAAUUUUUUGAUUCUGUCCUUAUUAGUUACAAAGCGCUUCUCAGUUGAAAUGUUUUGAAGCAUGGCCUGUUUCAUACUCAUUUUCUCUCCCAGUCCUGCACUAAGUUGACCUCAGUAAGGAAGGCAGGGAGCUGAAUGGUUUCCCAUUAAGUUUUUUCAGUUCAUUACACCAAAUUUUAAGUUAAUUUGGUUUUGUGUCAGUUUUUAACUGGUUUUGUGUCAUCACAUUUCUACUUUAAAUUUACAAAAGAACAGUUUUGCUUGGAAUCUACAUUCUAGGUAUUUCCAUAGGAGUGCAUUACAUUAUUAGAUGAACUUGGAACAGAUUCUGGAAACAUGGAACCUGAGUUUGUCUUUCCUCCACUUGGCUGCUAGGAUCUACAGACUGCUGGGCACAGUCAUUUCCCCCAGUGAGUCUCUUGUGUUUAAUUCAACUUGCAUCUGUUUCUUGGAGGACCUGAACUGAUAAAAUCUGCUGUGAUGCAAUGAGGGGAAAAAUCACUUCUAUGAUAUUUCUGCCAAAAAAUACAUGAUCCGAAUCUCUUCAUGAGGAAACACCAGACAAAUCCAACUGAGGUAACUUGUAAAAAAACAAGUGGCCUAUAGUCCCCAAAACUGUCAAGAUACGAUUUAAAAAAGACUGAAAAUUGUUCUAGGUUGAAAGAGAUGAGAUAACUAGAUGCAUGUGUGAUCCUGUAUUGAAUUGUUACAAAGGACAUUAUUAAGAUAAGUGGAAAACUGGUUCUUUUUAUUAGAUGGUGAUAACCAUCUUGAUGGCACAAGACAAAAUGCUCACUGGAGAAUUCAGGGAUAAUGAAUGGAUCAUCACGUCUGAAACUGGGUUCAGAAGAUAAAGGUCUUUGCACUAUUUCUGCAACUUGCCUAUAGAUUUGAAAUUCUCAUCUUUCAAGGAGUAAUGUGGAAUAUGGAGAAUGGACUCAGGAGCUAAGAAGGAAAGUCACAAAUUGGAAAGCUGUUGCAGAUGUCCAGCUAACCAUGAGUGGGCCAGCAGGUUUGGUAAGCAAAGAGAGAUUCAAGGUAGAUUUAAAUGAUCAAAUUCACCAGACUCACUGAUGAAUUGGAUAUGGAGGGUAAGAAAAAGGGUUAUUGAAGAUAAUUUUUUUGUUUCUGGCUUUAGCAACUGAGUGGAGGCUAGCCACUCAGUGUAGCAAGAAAGAUGGAGGGGAUAAUAGGUUUGGGAAGAAAUUCAAGAGUUAUAAUUGAGUAGGGAGUUGGUUAUAUGGAACUAGACCUUAGAGUAGAAGUCUGGGAUAGAGGUAUAAAUUUAAGAAUUAAUAGCAUAUAGAGCCAUUGAAAUAGAUGGGAUCGCCUGCCAGGAAAAAGUAGACAUUAAAAGAAGUCCCUCAAUUAAACCCUGAUGACCUCCACCAUUUAUGGGUCAGUUAGAAGAAAUACAGCUAAGGAGACCAAAUUUGAUGGAACAAAUUUAACCUAUUACUCAUCUGUCCCAGACUUUUAAAAUGGAAUGUAGGCAGGAUUCUCCUUGCUUAUCCAAGAGGAAGCCAUGCCACUGUGCUGGAUUUGUGAGCUCCUGCCUCAGAAAACAUUUUCCAUUGUAAUUUUCCCUCGGGCUGCAAUGGGCUGACCAUUGCUGCUUCCAGCAUCACCCCCUAUUGGGAUAGUGACUGAAAACAGGAUGAACUCUAAAUAUGCUUUUAAAUUUGCACUUGCAUUAGGCUGACUCCUCAUAAGAACUUUGGGAAUUACUUUCUCUCCUGGGGCUCAUUAGAAGCUUCCUCAGUUUAACAAACAGGUAACUAGCUGCCUUAUUACAUAUGUAAUAGGGGGAAGACUACUCUCAUUUUCAAUUCACUGUCAUUGUUACCAUCAAAGGGAAUUGCAAAUGAGAGUUUUCUUAAAUACAAUUAGCUUAAAGCUACUUAAGUAUUCUUUCAGAAAACAUUCUUACUUAAAAAUGUUCAACUCUGGUCUGUGUCUGAAAGAUAUACAACACAUAUAGACUGAUUUUAUUUAUUUUAUACAUUUGCUGUUAUAAAAUUUGAUAAAAGUAGUCCACAUUCUUUAGAUAAAGAUGGGUGGUAGUUCUUUUUGGGAAGCCCCAGUAACAGGUGAGUAGGAAAAGCAAAAACAAAACUAAGUACGCAGGAAAACAAUUCUUUAGGAGUGAAAAAAGUUGGGGAGGUCAGUCAUCGCGACAUUUCAGUGAGGGAAUUUCUGGGAAGAUGUCACAAAUAUACAUAGGGACCAAGAGAUCUGUUCCAGUGUCCCAUAAGAUGUGUAUUUUGUAUGACCCCUACUCAAGAUCGUCUCAAGAGGUCUUGAGAAAGCUGAUGUUGAAAGACUGAAAGCGUUUUACUUAUCUGUCAGUUGAACAGUAAGACUUCUGUCUCAACUCUGCCAUUCACUACGGAAAAGCUUCACCAAAUGGAGUUUGGCUCUGCCUUUUCCCCAGGUUCCUGUUCUCUGUCCUCAUAUUAAUAAACAAUCGAGCUAGAGUUCUUGGCUUCUAACCUUCCAAAAUGUUAAUAGUGAAAUCAGUGGUAGUGUGUUGAGUUAUUUGAGUGGUAAUUGCCAUUGCACAGAGCAAAAGGAGAGGCCAGCUGAAUAGGCUGUCUUCAGUAUCACCAGUCAGCACACAAUUGCUUUUCUCCUUUUCCCCAGAGUUGACCAAAGACCCUGAAUAGGGCUCAGCUGAAGUGUACACAUGGAAAUAACGUAUUUCAUGGAGCCUUAGAGAUGCCUACUAAUGUGCACUAUUCUCUUACUUCACCCUUGCUCUCUCAGAGGCGUUUUGUCUUGUUCUCUGUCUUGUUCAUCACUGCCUUGCCGGCACACAGAAUAGUGCCCAGCACCUAGGAGAUGCAUUUGAAUAUUUGUUGACUUACUGGGUAGUAAAAUUAGCAUAACCUUGUAGACAUGAGAUAUGGCUUGCUUACAUUACUGGAUUUAAUAAAUAUUCCAAAAAUACUGGCUCUAAAUAAUUUGUCAAUUUUUCAUAUUUUAUAUGUCCUAUAAAACCAGGGAAUAUAAUUUAAUACAAUUAUGCUACACCAGAGGAUCUUUGUUUUUCUGGACUACUGCAAACAUGUUCCCUUUUCUCAAUUUCUCCCACUGGUAGCAUCUUAUGGAACUAUAGAACAGUAUCCCAACUGGGGUAGUCACAUGGAUAUAGUCAGGUAGACUAGUCCUAUCACAAGGGCUCCUCAUUUUGCCCUUUUACAGCAACACGUACUCUCUUGCCCCUACCCUGUACCCAGCCCUGGCAAGCAUUAAUCUGGUCUCCACUACUACAACUUUGUCAUUGCCAAAAUACUAACAUAAAUGGAAUUAUAUAUAGUAUGUAAUCUCUUGGAACUGGUUUUUUCCCCUCAGCAUAAUUCCCCGACAAUUAAUCCAGAUUGCCAAUAAUUAGAAAAGAAUUCAGUCUUACUGGUAAUUAAGGAAACGUAAAUGAAGAAGAUGAUGAUGAUACUGUUUUGUUAAACCAAUAAAGCUUAAAAAAACACAAAAAGGAAAACAUCCAAUGUAUGCAAAAUUUGAGGAAAAUGGGUGCUUUCAUAAAAACAAUAACAGCUAAUAUUGAUUGCCUAUUACAUGCUUUGCAAGAUUCUAAGCAUUUUACCUAUGUCAAUUUAUCUAAGCACAACAACUCUGUGAGGUAAAAAUGUUGCAGAUACGAGCUGAAUAUUACUGUCAUCAUUAUCCAUAUAACUGGGCAGUUAUAUUGACAAUGCAGCCCAUAUGAACACAUCAAAAAAAAAAAAAAAGUCACUGAAAUGUUUGUGACUCAGAGCACAUUUGAACAAUUCCUAUUUAACAUGUCAUGUGAUACACCUCUUCAGAGUCACAUACUUAUUACUGUUACUCAAAAUAAUGACAAUAAAUGUAUCCUAGUAUUUUGACCCUAGUGCCAUUAUGAAUUAAUGUUGAAUAUCUGUUCAUCUUGGAUUUUCUUUUUUGUGCUUCUUGGGAUUUUGAUUAUCCCACAGUAGAAUCAUUAUGUAAUUUUGUAAAAAGAUUUCUUUGUAGCAAAUUCUUCAUAGAGAAAAUAUAGAGGACUCAAAAUAAUUCUCAACAGAUUUCAGAUAUGGAUUAUAUGUUCUAAUUUUACCUAGUGGGAAAUAGAGUACUAACUAAAUUUGCCCUUCACCCACAGAACAUAUGAAUUGACUAAAUGAGACGCUAAUUGCAUGAAUAAGGUAGAGACAGAAAGUCUGAGAAUAAAUUCCUAUUUAAGUACUAUAUUGACAAGUAUCUGUUCAAUUCAUGUAUUACAGCCCUUUUCAAGAUAAGUAAAUUUACUUCUCGACUUCAUUAAAUUCACAUUCAAAUUUAUAAAUUUCUCACAUUAUCAUAUUGCAAAGCCCAAAUUAUCUUAGAUUCUUAAUAAGAAAAUAGGGGUAUGACCAAAAGAAAUAAUUUAAAUGAUAUUUACUUUUAUGUAGUGAAUAGAUUCAUUUCUGAAAUAGGGACCUGUGCUAUAAAUCCUAUAAAUUAAAUCCUGUUUGCUCAUUGAACUCUAGUCUGUAUGUGGAAUUACUCUUUGGGAAAAUGUAUGCCACAAUCUAGUUUAGCUCUGAUACUGCUCUUUGGAGCAGGGACGUUUCCAUAAUAACAAUGUAGCCUUUUCUCCAGUGACCCACCCAGCUCCUGGGAAGUUCCUAUAGUUUAUUCCUGUGAUCUGGCUUCCUCCUAUUUGGAUAAUCGGAGGGUUUGAGUACAAAGUAACAGCUGACAGAUUUUGAGCUCCUACUGUCAGGCAUGAUUCUAAUAAGCACUUUACAGGGAUAAUGGAAACCUGUGAGGUAGAAUUUAUUAGCUCUUUUGUAGAUGGCGAAACUGACGAACACAGGGAGCUCUCCCUAGGAAGGGCUUGAGAACAUGUUUUGAUUCCAGAGCUGAGAUUAGGGCCAACAAUACACUAUAUUGCCUUCUUAUUUUCUAGACUAGAGCUUCUCAGUCAUGGAUGGGUUCUAGGUGAGCUCAGGCAUGGAUCCUCUCAGCACAUGGGGUUGCCAGACAGGACCGGUAGCCCAACUCACCUGUCUCUUCCCAUAGUUGUGAGCAGCUUCAUUCACUUAGACCAGUGGAGGGUCUUCACCAAGAUGAUUGUUUUCUUUAUAUGCCAUAGUGUGAAAGUAUCUGACAAACACAUUGCCCUAGAACAAAGUACACAUUUAGAGGUAAAUAUAUGAACUGUGUUUCCUAACUUGCAACUGACUUUAAAAUAAAUGUUCAGAUUCCGUUAUCUUUUGACAGGAAAUAACAUGUAUACCUUACAUAAUUCUACUUUAUGUUACUUCUUAAUCAACUAUUACAAAUGAAAAAAGGAUUGAGAACAAAAGCUAAUCAUUUUUCUCAUUGAUAUUUUGUUACAAUUCAUAUUAAUUGUUCUUCCCUGUACAUUAGGCAACAUUGACCCUGACUAGUUACCAUGAAGUCUUAACAUCAUUAAAGCUGUCUUUAUUUAAUUAUUAUUGGUAAAUCAUUUUUUAUUUAUUUGGGCUGCCUGCUUCCCAAUUAAUUGAAUUGGCAAAUAUUUCACCUUGAAUUUCAAUGUACCACAAAGCACAUCAGAGUACAUAAGGUUAAUAAGGGAGUGCUUUCUGAAGAAGGACAUCUGCAGGUUUAAAAAUAUAUAUAUGAUGGAGAAACUAGGUAUGCUCUUGAAUAUCAGCUCUUGUGCAGCACUAUAGUGACUUUGGAGACUUCACAUCUUCAGUACCAGAAUGAAAUAAAGACGAAACAGUUGAGAGUUCCUGGGCAUCUUAGAAAGAGCUCAGAAGGAACCCACUCGUAACCCAGCUGGCUUCAAUAAAAGUGUAGACACGAACACUUGCACUCAUAUGUGUUCAUUGUGUUUAAAAUGAUUUGUUCACAAUCCAUUAAUCAUGGAAGCUCAUCUGGAAGUAUGGUUUGUAGACCACAAAUCCGAUUUUACCUCAAUAGAAGUUUUCAGGUAAAGAUAAACAUGUUCCAGAUAAGUCAAAGAGGGGGAAAAAAUAAUCUUUUCUUGACUUCAAUAAGCCAGAGAAUGAUGGCCCACUUAUAACACAUCCAGUCCUGUUUAGUAUCUUGGUGGGGUCCAUCUUUGGAUCUUGGACCAUUUGCAUCUGGUCUGGGUAACGGAUUCCAUAUGAAAUACCAGGGAGGAGAAAGCAAAGGUGACUUUGAAGUUCUAAGCCUCACUAACUCAGUGGCAAUGGGCCACUGGAAAGUAUCACCAGGAAGAGGAGCUGGUUGGGUAUGUAUGGGCUGGUGAAGAUGAUGAAUUCUUUGGAGCACAUGUAGAUCUGAAGGAACCAGGAGGAGAUUCAAGUGGCAAUUUCAUGAAAGCAAUUGAAAAUGCUUGCCUGGGAUCAUGUGGAAAGAUUAGGAGUAGAACUUUUGAGCUGGGAGACAUCUACUCAUAAUCUUAGGAGUGAAAGAGACCUUCUCUCCAAGAAAGAAAGGAUAAAGAUAAGCUAAAGAAGCCUCAUCACAUUGCUGGGAUAACCAGUUUCUCAGGAGGAGAAAGGCUGGAGGCAAAGGCUGACAAAGGCCACACUGGCCACCUUGAUUUUCCCCAACCCACCAAACAUAGACCCCUUUCAACCUCAGCCUGGAAUGCUCUUUCUUCCCACAGAGUUAGAAUUGCUUUCUUUGUGCUCCCAGAAUACUCUGUUUCUGAUGCUACAUUCAACCACAGACUAUGACAGUUAACUGUUCAGCUUCCUGUUUCACCUGCGACACAGUAAAUAUUCAUUGAAUGAAUGAACUGGUUAUAUGGAAUGGAGACUGUGCUCAGGCCACAUUUCAGUACUCGAGAUCUUGGCAUUCUCAUAAAUUGGUCAGAUGGUGUGUUAUUUCAAGGAAAAUAAAACUGCUCAUUGUGUGUCCGCCAUUCCCAGAACAAA